Fukomys damarensis (Damara mole-rat) is the source of this 416-nucleotide long non-coding RNA. RefSeq lists it as uncharacterized. The record is from RefSeq and is a predicted model, not a curated record. NCBI's taxonomy places the organism in Eukaryota, Metazoa, Chordata, Mammalia, Rodentia, Bathyergidae. The transcript has 3 exons.
GGGAGCACAGACCUCUGAAUGGAAGGAAGCUCCGAGACGGGUGCUCUGCCCACCAACACCCUCGUCACCUCUUUCCACGUUUCCAUAGCAACGGUGGGGAGAGAGAUCAACAUCUGCCCUCUCUACUAGAUUCCUCUGCAAGGCAGGGACCCUAUGCCUGCUGGACUCUGUUCGGGAAAUAAUCUGUUAAAGAAACAUCUGCAUUGUCUCCCAAGCCCUGUGGAACCAUCCUUGCAGGCCAGACUGUUUCUUCUUACAGCUGACCCCUAAUGUGGGCUUUCAAAUGAUUUGAUAAUGAACUGAGACUGUGACCCCGGCCUCAUCCCAGCCCCCACAGGAAGUGCAGCACAAUGUUGCCUGCUGCCUUGAAAUCUAACAAAGGCCCAAAGCUGAAGAGUGGAAAGUCUUUCAUGCCC